RNAcentral lists this ribosomal RNA (2167 nucleotides) under uncultured Paeniclostridium sp. RNAcentral describes it as "partial contains 16S ribosomal RNA, 16S-23S ribosomal RNA intergenic spacer, and 23S ribosomal RNA". The stretch from base 1 to 1475 matches the Rfam family "Bacterial small subunit ribosomal RNA". The record is from RNAcentral. Lineage: Bacteria; Bacillati; Bacillota; Clostridia; Peptostreptococcales; Peptostreptococcaceae.
GAUGAACGCUGGCGGCGUGCCUAACACAUGCAAGUCGAGCGAACCCUUCGGGGUGAGCGGCGGACGGGUGAGUAACGCGUGGGUAACCUGCCCUGUACACACGGAUAACAUACCGAAAGGUAUGCUAAUACGGGAUAACAUAUGAAAGUCGCAUGGCUUUUGUAUCAAAGCUUUUGCGGUACAGGAUGGACCCGCGUCUGAUUAGCUAGUUGGUAAGGUAACGGCUUACCAAGGCAACGAUCAGUAGCCGACCUGAGAGGGUGAUCGGCCACAUUGGAACUGAGACACGGUCCAAACUCCUACGGGAGGCAGCAGUGGGGAAUAUUGCACAAUGGGCGAAAGCCUGAUGCAGCAACGCCGCGUGAGCGAUGAAGGCCUUCGGGUCGUAAAGCUCUGUCCUCAAGGAAGAUAAUGACGGUACUUGAGGAGGAAGCCCCGGCUAACUACGUGCCAGCAGCCGCGGUAAUACGUAGGGGGCUAGCGUUAUCCGGAAUUACUGGGCGUAAAGGGUGCGUAGGCGGUCUUUCAAGCCAGAAGUGAAAGGCUACGGCUCAACCGUAGUAAGCUUUUGGAACUGUAGGACUUGAGUGCAGGAGAGGAGAGUGGAAUUCCUAGUGUAGCGGUGAAAUGCGUAGAUAUUAGGAGGAACACCAGUAGCGAAGGCGGCUCUCUGGACUGUAACUGACGCUGAGGCACGAAAGCGUGGGGAGCAAACAGGAUUAGAUACCCUGGUAGUCCACGCCGUAAACGAUGAGUACUAGGUGUCGGGGGUUACCCCCCUCGGUGCCGCAGCUAACGCAUUAAGUACUCCGCCUGGGAAGUACGCUCGCAAGAGUGAAACUCAAAGGAAUUGACGGGGACCCGCACAAGUAGCGGAGCAUGUGGUUUAAUUCGAAGCAACGCGAAGAACCUUACCUAAGCUUGACAUCCCACUGAUCUCUCCCUAAUCGGAGAUUUCCCUUCGGGGACAGUGGUGACAGGUGGUGCAUGGUUGUCGUCAGCUCGUGUCGUGAGAUGUUGGGUUAAGUCCCGCAACGAGCGCAACCCUUGCCUUUAGUUGCCAGCAUUAAGUUGGGCACUCUAGAGGGACUGCCGAGGAUAACUCGGAGGAAGGUGGGGAUGACGUCAAAUCAUCAUGCCCCUUAUGCUUAGGGCUACACACGUGCUACAAUGGGUGGUACAGAGGGUUGCCAAGCCGUGAGGUGGAGCUAAUCCCUUAAAGCCAUUCUCAGUUCGGAUUGUAGGCUGAAACUCGCCUACAUGAAGCUGGAGUUACUAGUAAUCGCAGAUCAGAAUGCUGCGGUGAAUGCGUUCCCGGGUCUUGUACACACCGCCCGUCACACCACGGGAGUUGGGGGCGCCCGAAGCCGGUUAGCUAACCUUUUAGGAAGCGGCCGUCGAAGGUGAAACCAAUGACUGGGGUGAAGUCGUAACAAGGUAGCCGUAUCGGAAGGUGCGGCUGGAUCACCUCCUUUCUAAGGAGUAAUUACCUACUGUUUAAUUUUGAGAGUUCAUCUCUCUGUUAGUACUUUUAAGCAACGGGACAUGAACGUAUGUGAAUGGACGUUGGCGACGUACUGUUAGUACUUUGAAAACUGCAUAACAUUUAGUGAUGAUUAAAUAAACCAGUUAUAAGAGAAGACAACUCUUUAAAAAAUAACACUUUUAAUAACUGGUCAAGUUAUUAAGGGCGCAGGGCGGAUGCCUUGGCACUAAGAGCUGAUGAAGGACGCGAUAAGCUGCGAUAAGCUUCGGGGAGUUGCACGUAAACUUUGAUCCGAAGAUUUCCGAAUGAGGAAACUCACUUAGAGUAAUGUCUAAGUAUCAUUAAGUGAAUACAUAGCUUAAUGAGGGGAACCCGGGGAACUGAAACAUCUAAGUACCCGGAGGAAAAGAAAGAAAUUCGAUUCCGUAAGUAGCGGCGAGCGAACGCGGAAUAGCCCAAACCAGUGAAGUUUUCUUUGCUGGGGUUGCGGACACAUCAUCAACGAAGAGGUAUCGUAAAUGAAGAGAGUUGGAAAGCUCCGCUAUAAAGUGUAAUAGCCACGUAGUUGAAACGAGAAGACUUUAGAUGUGAUCCAGAGUACCACGGGACACGUGAAACCCUGUGGGAAGCAGGAGGGACCAUCCUCCAAGGCUAAAUACUACUUAGUGACCGAUAGCGCAU